This 1365-nucleotide long non-coding RNA is filed under the name Ailuropoda melanoleuca (giant panda). RNAcentral's name for it is "lncRNA (ENSAMEG00000031490.1)". Lineage: Eukaryota; Metazoa; Chordata; Mammalia; Carnivora; Ursidae. The record is from RNAcentral.
CUGCGUGAAAGACAGGUGACCUGCCCGUUAUCCUCAUUCCCAAAGACACAACAUUGCCAGGAAAGAACACAGAAUUACAUGUGCUCAUAAAGAUUAUUAAAAAUCCAUCAGAUUCAUGGUGGGGGGAGGUAUCCUGGGUGGAUCUGUCCUUCUUUCCUUUGCUAGAUAUCUUGCAAAAUGGGGAACCUCAGCCCCUUUUACACCUUCCUUCCCCUUUCUUGGGUUUUUUUCCCCAUCAGCUGUUUUAAACAUCCCUUUCUGCUCACCUGGAGCUGCUCUCUACAAAUUUUUCCUUCUGGUUUAUGCUCCUCCACACAGCGUUUCUGUUAGUUCCUACCUCCCUAAUACACCAUGUUAUUUCCUGAGCUUUGUCCAUGAUGUGUUUGUGUUCUAAGAAAAGCUAACAUUCAGCACUGUGGUUUUGCUGCUGGCACACAUAUACAGGGCUGAGUCCCCUGGCUCAGCAGACUUGAUUUCCAGGGUGCAGGGUGAGUCGUUGGGACAUUGAGCUGAAAACUGACGAUCGAACGUUUCUAUUUUAUCAAUAAUAUCGUUGUUCUGUGUCCAGGACUCUGGGUGACCUUAGUGUCCAGGGAACCUGUGGAAGGAAGAGACAGCAACUGGAGAAAAAGCCCAGGAGGCAGCCUGAUAUUGCAGUCACAGGAGACCAUCCUGGAACCGGCAUCCAGCAAGCUCGCAGCAAGAGCUUACCUGCUUCCCAGAAAAAAAGGGCCACAGCAGAGAAGUCUGAAGAACAUGUUGGCUCGGAGGGGAAAAAGAGGUGGCAAGUGGCCUUUUCUGUCAGGCUUACCUGUCCCCAUCAGCAGCCUCCUCGUGACGUGAUCACUGGCUCUUGCCUUUGUAGUCACCAUGUGUGUGAGAGACGAAAACAUGUCAGAGAAUGUGGAGGGCAGGGAGAGCGGGUGAAAACCACCAGCGGGAGUUUCAACCUGCUCUUGUUUCCUUUUUCCCAGAGGCUGCUCUUUUGCUAUUUUUUUAAUAAAUAUUAUAAAUAUUGUUCAUUUCUUGGCUUUUUAACUUGUCAGUUUGCCUUCUCCCCUUCUCCUUGCAUCUCAGGCCAUGAAUCAUAUAGCGUGGUGUUUAUCAAUCACAGUUUUGCCGCACUUAUGAAAUCACAGAGGGGUUACUUUACGUUAAAAAUGUCGAGCUACACAAAACAUAAUGACAAAUGCACAACGCAUCUAGGGAAACCAGAGCCUGACUCCUGUUGUCUGAGCGAUCAGCUGAGGAGAUGGGUUAUUGACGGAGAAUUUAAGCCUCCGUGUUAUUCUUCCAGAUGUCAUUGUCUGGAUAUCCAUUGCCCUGAAGUUUAUAUUUUUAUUCUCCGGCUUUUCAUUGUAUUCG